GCGCCCAUAGCUUAAUUGGAUAGAGCAUUUGACUACGAAUCAAAAGGUUAGAGGUUCAAGUCCUCUUGGGCGCG
This 74-nucleotide transfer RNA is filed under the name Candidatus Endomicrobiellum mastotermitis. Its description in RNAcentral is "tRNA-Arg". It matches the Rfam family "tRNA". Rfam says of the family: Transfer RNA (tRNA) molecules are approximately 80 nucleotides in length. Their secondary structure includes four short double-helical elements and three loops (D, anti-codon, and T loops). The record is from RNAcentral. Lineage: Bacteria; Pseudomonadati; Elusimicrobiota; Endomicrobiia; Endomicrobiales; Endomicrobiaceae.